Non-coding RNA from Populus trichocarpa (black cottonwood), 130 nucleotides. Lineage: Eukaryota; Viridiplantae; Streptophyta; Magnoliopsida; Malpighiales; Salicaceae. The record is from Rfam.
GUGUUCGUGGAAAGGAGAGAUGGAUGGCAGCUCCCCUGAUAGAGACAUGAACAGCUUCUGUGCUUCCCUGUUACUGUACAUCCGGUCUAGGCUACCAACCAACUAGGUAGAUCGCUAACCCAACUUUAUU